This is a long non-coding RNA of Macrobrachium nipponense, 399 nucleotides long. RefSeq lists it as uncharacterized. NCBI's taxonomy places the organism in Eukaryota, Metazoa, Arthropoda, Malacostraca, Decapoda, Palaemonidae. The record is from RefSeq and is a predicted model, not a curated record. The transcript is spliced from 3 exons.
AAAAUCAUCACCAAGAAGAACAAACGUGCUUUGUAAGACAAUUUCUUGCGACCUCUUAUGGUGGAAGUGAUGCGACCUCUUGUGAUGACAAUGACAAAAUUGGAAAGUAGGGUGCAAGAUCAGCAGAAGUCACUAGAAAUAAUGAUAGGUACCAUCGAACAUUUGAAACAAACUCAGGCUGCUGCACCCACUGGACCUGAUUUAUCCCUGCUGGACGGAUUGCUACCAAUACAAAGAUAUGUAGACUUUGAGGACUUUGAACAACAGAUAAAUGGGGACAGUCCCCUUAGAAAGUCACUGGUACAUAGACUCUAGAUUCUUGGGGGAGCAACCGUCAGCAGUCAAAAACCAUGAUUGACUUCUGCAUGACAAGUGGACUCCAGUAUGAGUUCAACUGGG